AUUGAACGCUGGCGGCAGGCCUAACACAUGCAAGUCGAGCGGUAGAGAGGUGCUUGCAUCUCUUGAGAGCGGCGGACGGGUGAGUAAUGCCUAGGAAUCUGCCUAGUGGUGGGGGAUAACGUUCGGAAACGGACGCUAAUACCGCAUACGUCCUACGGGAGAAAGCGGGGGAUCUUCGGACCUCGCGCCAUUAGAUGAGCCUAGGUCGGAUUAGCUAGUUGGUGAGGUAAUGGCUCACCAAGGCGACGAUCCGUAACUGGUCUGAGAGGAUGAUCAGUCACACUGGAACUGAGACACGGUCCAGACUCCUACGGGAGGCAGCAGUGGGGAAUAUUGGACAAUGGGCGAAAGCCUGAUCCAGCCAUGCCGCGUGUGUGAAGAAGGUCUUCGGAUUGUAAAGCACUUUAAGUUGGGAGGAAGGGUAGUAACCUAAUACGUUGCUACUUUGACGUUACCGACAGAAUAAGCACCGGCUAACUUCGUGCCAGCA
RNAcentral lists this ribosomal RNA (490 nucleotides) under uncultured bacterium. RNAcentral describes it as "bacterial SSU rRNA". It matches the Rfam family "Bacterial small subunit ribosomal RNA", at positions 30 to 513 of the family's 1533-position model. The record is from RNAcentral.